Molecule: non-coding RNA, 30 nt
Filed under: Rattus norvegicus (Norway rat)
Lineage: Eukaryota; Metazoa; Chordata; Mammalia; Rodentia; Muridae
Source: RNAcentral
UCUGAUUCGUCACUUUGUCUGCCUCUCAAU